Molecule: ribosomal RNA, 254 nt
Filed under: uncultured bacterium
Lineage: Bacteria
Description: partial 16S ribosomal RNA
Rfam family: Bacterial small subunit ribosomal RNA
Source: RNAcentral
UACAGAGGUCUCGAGCGUUGUUCGGAUUCAUUGGGCGUAAAGGGCGCGUAGGUGGCCCGGUCAGUUCGUGGUGAAAGCGCGGGGCUCAACCCUGCGUCGGCCAUGAAUACUGCCGCGGCUGGAGCACUGUAGAGGCAGGCGGAAUUCCGGGUGUAGCGGUGGAAUGCGUAGAGAUCCGGAAGAACACCGGUGGCGAAGGCGGCCUGCUGGGCAGUUGCUGACACUGAGGCGCGACAGCGUGGGGAGCAAACAGG